UAACCACAUGUAGCCCCUCUCCCUGUUUGAGAUAAACAUGUGUGCAUUGACCUAAUUCAUUGAUAGCCACCUAGACUGCUGCAAAUGGGAUGCAGGCUUUAAAAAUGGGGAUCCUGACCAGCCCAGUGCCCGCCUGUCGAGAUAGCCACAAAGGCACGUCCUCUUGUCAGUCCAGCAAGUAAUGCUGCUCCACGUUCCUCUUCCUGCCAGAUGACAGAAGAACGGCCAACACCUCCCGAUUGAGACUCGACCGAGCUCUUGUGUGAGCAACGCCAGCGCCCUGCAUCCAGACCAGACAAGCCCAGCUGCUGGACCCCAGAGGACAGCACCACCAGGAUCCCCAGUAAGCCUGUACCGCAGCACCAGAAAUUGUCAAUGGGAAAAAUAUCCUCAGGCCAUCUUCCAGUCAGCAAGUCACAGCCUCACAAGAAAUAUGAAGAAAGGCAAAAGUGGUUUGGAAAUGUCGAUAUGAAAUGCAUAAUUCAGGGAGUAUGCCUCCCCAAGGGACCGCUGAUGGACGAGCUGCGAUGAAGACGGGGGUCGAGUUUUCACGGUGCGGAAGGAGAUGUUAACCCGACCUGCAGCCUCUGCACACUUGGCAGAAGUCCAGGGACACGACCCUGAUCGGUCACCC
Long non-coding RNA from Myotis myotis, 634 nucleotides. RefSeq lists it as uncharacterized. The record is from RefSeq and is a predicted model, not a curated record. NCBI's taxonomy places the organism in Eukaryota, Metazoa, Chordata, Mammalia, Chiroptera, Vespertilionidae. The transcript is spliced from 3 exons.